RNAcentral lists this ribosomal RNA (119 nucleotides) under Scophthalmus maximus (turbot). Lineage: Eukaryota; Metazoa; Chordata; Actinopteri; Pleuronectiformes; Scophthalmidae. The record is from RNAcentral.
GCUUACGGCCACACCGCCUGGUUCACGCCCGAUCUCGUUUGAUCUCGGAAGCUAAGAUAGGUUGGGCCUGGUUAGUACUUGGAUGGGAGAUUGCCUGGGAAUACCAGGUGCUGUGGCUU